CUAGUUGGCGGGGUAAAAGCCCACCAAGGCAACGACGGGUAGCUGGUCUGAGAGGACGAUCAGCCACACUGGAACUGAGACACGGUCCAGACUCCUACGGGAGGCAGCAGUGGGGAAUUUUGCACAAUGGGCGAAAGCCUGAUGCAGCAACGCCGCGUGUGUGAUGAAGGUCUUCGGAUCGUAAAGCACUUUCGACCGGGACGAAAACCCGUUGGCUAACAUCCAACGGCUUGACGGUACCGGGAGAAGAAGCACCGGCUAACUCUGUGCCAGCAGCCGCGGUAAUACAGAGGGUGCAAGCGUUGUUCGGAAUUAUUGGGCGUAAAGCGCGUGUAGGCGGUUUCGCAAGUCGGGUGUGAAAGCCCUCAGCUCAACUGAGGAAGUGCGCCCGAAACUGCGGAGCUUGAGUACCGGAGAGGAUGGCGGAAUUCCCCAAGUAGAGGUGAAAUUCGUAGAUAUGGGGAGGAACACCGGUGGCGAAGGCGGCCAUCUGGACGGAUACUGACGCUGAGACGCGAAAGCGUGGGUAGCAAACAGGAUUAGAUACCCUGGUAGUCCACGCCGUAAACGAUGAGAACUAGGUGUUGUGGGUGUUGACCCCCGCAGUGCCGAAGCCAACGCAUUAAGUUCUCCGCCUGGGAAGUACGGCCGCAAGGCUAAAACUCAAAGGAAUUGACG
This 678-nucleotide ribosomal RNA is filed under the name uncultured delta proteobacterium. RNAcentral's name for it is "SSU rRNA". It matches the Rfam family "Bacterial small subunit ribosomal RNA", at positions 245 to 915 of the family's 1533-position model. Lineage: Bacteria; Deltaproteobacteria. The record is from RNAcentral.